This 800-nucleotide ribosomal RNA is filed under the name Arthrobacter sp. JSM 2215017. RNAcentral describes it as "bacterial SSU rRNA". It matches the Rfam family "Bacterial small subunit ribosomal RNA", at positions 29 to 846 of the family's 1533-position model. The record is from RNAcentral. Lineage: Bacteria; Bacillati; Actinomycetota; Actinomycetes; Micrococcales; Micrococcaceae.
GUGAUCUUUUGUGUACUGUACAUGCAGUCGACGAUGAAGCCCAGCUUAGCUGGGUGGAUUAGUGGCGAACGGGUGAGUAACACGUGAGUAACCUGCCCCUGACUCUGGGAUAAGCCCGGGAAACUGGGUCUAAUACCGGAUAUGACUUUUGACCGCAUGGUUGAGGGUGGAAAGAUUUAUCGGUUGGGGAUGGACUCGCGGCCUAUCAGCUUGUUGGUGAGGUAAUGGCUCACCAAGGCGACGACGGGUAGCCGGCCUGAGAGGGUGACCGGCCACACUGGGACUGAGACACGGCCCAGACUCCUACGGGAGGCAGCAGUGGGGAAUAUUGCACAAUGGGCGCAAGCCUGAUGCAGCGACGCCGCGUGAGGGAUGACGGCCUUCGGGUUGUAAACCUCUUUCAGUAGGGAAGAAGCGAGAGUGACGGUACCUGCAGAAGAAGCGCCGGCUAACUACGUGCCAGCAGCCGCGGUAAUACGUAGGGCGCAAGCGUUAUCCGGAUUUAUUGGGCGUAAAGAGCUCGUAGGCGGUUUGUCGCGUCUAUCGUGAAAGUCCGAGGCUCAACCUCGGAUCUGCGGUGGGUACGGGCAGACUAGAGUGAUGUAGGGGAGACUGGAAUUCCUGGUGUAGCGGUGAAAUGCGCAGAUAUCAGGAGGAACACCGAUGGCGAAGGCAGGUCUCUGGGCAUUUACUGACGCUGAGGAGCGAAAGCAUGGGGAGCGAACAGGAUUAGAUACCCUGGUAGUCCAUGCCGUAAACGUUGGGCACUAGGUGUGGGGGACAUUCCACGUUUUCCGCGC